Phyllostomus discolor (pale spear-nosed bat) is the source of this 102-nucleotide small nuclear RNA. Lineage: Eukaryota; Metazoa; Chordata; Mammalia; Chiroptera; Phyllostomidae. The record is from RefSeq and is a predicted model, not a curated record.
CUGUUGUAGCAGCACAUACACUGCAACUAGAAUGAUACAGAGAAGAUUAGCAUGGAGCUGCACAAGGAUGAUAUGAAAAUUCAUGAAGUGUUUCAUUUAAAA